This 32-nucleotide non-coding RNA is filed under the name Homo sapiens (human). Lineage: Eukaryota; Metazoa; Chordata; Mammalia; Primates; Hominidae. The record is from RNAcentral.
UAGGUUUGGAAAGAAGUGAAGGGCCUUGCCUU